Molecule: ribosomal RNA, 43 nt
Filed under: uncultured fungus
Lineage: Eukaryota; Fungi
Description: partial 28S ribosomal RNA
Source: RNAcentral
UCUGAUCUCAAAUCAGGUAGGACUUACCCGCUGAACUUAAGCA